UGGCAUGAAAUGGAACUGUUAAAUUAUGUGCAAUGGCUAAAGCUGGCUUCUCUAGGGCCUCUGCAUGAUGAAUCAACACUCAGGGUGGGGACAGACAGCCCAUCUCAGUAUGGAGUGUAGUUCACAAUGCAUGUAGAACGAUCAUCUCAUCAUGGUAACUUUUCUCUUGUGACAGGUAGGUCUACAUUUGCUAAUAUAAAGACAGAAUGCGCAUCUAAUUUACCCAUCUCCAUCUGGCUUUCGGGGGUCACCUUGUUUUGUUAUUUUAAAGAGUCUGUUUUUUUAUUGCAGCUGCAGAGUUUUAAAACAGCCUAUCACUGGAAUAUCGUUGCUUUAUCGGGCAUGCACAAACACUCUCUGUCUUUCUCUCGCUCCAUCAACUUAAAAUAUAUAGCCUUAUAUAGAGAUGUCCUAUCUCUUUCAGGUAAUACAUUCAAUGCAUUAGCCUUAUAUUUAGCUAAUUAAUGAUGGGUUAUGCACAAUAAGUUUCUAACUUAUAGCUUCUGUCUCUUGCGCAAUACACACAUACCUGUGCUUUGCUGGCCUCUCUCCUUAAAAAGUGCUCCUUAGCUCUUGGAGUCCCAUGCAGGAAAAGCUGGACUAGAAUAUUGGUAUUGGUAUUUCUUAUACCAAUAGACUAUUCGAAGAGGGACUCAAGCUCUUUUUUUGCUGAAUGUUAAAUACAGCCGCCAAUAGAACUCGCCGGUAGAUGGAAAGAAGAGUGAACGCGCACAACGGCAGUAGGCUAAAGCAGUUAUUUAUUCAGACCCAUAACCAUUCAAUCUUCGUGAAGAGAAGUGAAAGCCUUCUGCAUCUAAUUUUAGUCUAAUAUUAUUCAAGGAUGUCAUCAGAAUGACAACAAAAUGUAUUUCAUUUAACUGUUGAAAGCGAGGAAUGAAUGAAGCAACAAUAGAGAGAGAAAGAGGAGGUAGGCUAAUAACAUUAAGGGAAAUAUUAUGAAAGGUGUAUAUACAUCAGCCUACUAAUUAUACAAAUAGGGCCUAUUAUAUUUAAAAAUUCAAAUCAAAUUGUGUGCAUGUGCUGCACUAGAAACGCAUGUUCUCUUCUGCUCUAUCAUGAUGUUAUUCCAGUCAAUAUAAAACAACACAGUACAGUAAUACAGUUCACACUAAAAAAAACAAAGCUUACUGGAGCUAGUUUAAUUUAUUUACCCAAGAGAUCAUAUAUCUAGCUACAUCUAUGGGGUUUUAAGUUUUUAUGAUGUGCAUAAUGUGCAGUAGCCUAUAUCAUAUAUGUAUUGGAUAACGACACAAUCAUUUGAGCUAUUUGGGGCUUGGGCUCAUUAAAUGUUGUUAAUGUAGGGCUCCUAAAAUGUACUUAAUAUAUGGCUCAUUAGGCUCAGGUAGCAUCAGGUCUGAAUGUUCAUGCUGAUCAAAGCCCUAAUCAAAUCCAGACAUAUGUAUAUGCUUUUGAAUGACACACCGAAUUACCUGGGAGAAAAGUGAUAUAAUCUCAGGCUGGAACAUUUGUAAAAUACUUGGAAAAUAUUCAACCCUAGUGCGCACACACCCCAACACCCUGGAGGUAUUAACAUCCUGGGAGAGAGACAGGUAAACCAGAGAUCUCCAUGAGGACCAGAACAGAACCACAGUGCCAGAUCUGUCUGUCUGUCCCAGUGGGCCUGUCACAAACAUGGCUGUCCCUCCCUCCCUGACUUCCUCCUCUCCUCCUGUGGUUACAUCACAGCUGCCCAUAUGUCCCACUUCCCUCAUAUAACCUGGAACACAGCUGUCCCCAAUAUGAUCCUCAGCACGACCCACUGCAGCAAAGAGUUGAGACAGAGAGACACUAGAUUAAGAAGAACAUAGUCAUAGUGUGUGUAGGAGGGAGAGUGUGAAUGUGUAGGUUGAUAAGCUGCAUGAUAUUGUGGGCAUGAGGAGGAGUGUGAGUAAGAGGCAAGAGGCCGUAUGUGUGUCAUACUUGGCAUUUGUCCGAGUUUAUAUGAAUUAAUGACACAUCUAGCUACUGGUCAACCUGAGUGUGCUGUGGAAAUGUAGGAUGUGUGUGUGUGCGUUAGGGCCGGGACGAUACCAGUAUCGCGAAACGUGUUAGUAUCAUGGCAAGGAAACAAAAUAUGACGCAGAUUUAACUUCUUUAGGAAAACAGCCCUAAUGUUGGAAACAAACAUCAUUAUUUUGUCCUCCAGAGUCAAAUUGUUGUAUUUUUUAAAGCUAUAGCACACAAUAGUUUACAUACAGCAUUAAAAAAAAAGAGUUUAGUCUGCUGUCACACCCUGAUCUGUUUCACCUGUUCCUGUGAUUGUCUCCACCCCCUCCAGGUGUCGCUUAUUUUCCCCAGUGUAUUUAUCCCUGUGUUUCCUGUCUCUCUGUGCCAGUUCGUCUUGCAUGUUUAGUCAAGUCAACCAGCGUGUUUUUCCCGUACUCCUUUCCUAUUCUCUUUUUAUAAUCCUUCCGGUUCUGACCCCUGCCUGGCUCUGGACUGCUUUUGUGCCUGCCUGAUCAUCCUGCCUGCCCUGACCUUGAUUCUGCCUGCCCUUCGGUACCCAUUGGUAUUAGCCUGUCCACGACUAUUCUCUUGCCUACUCCUUUGGAUUAAUAAACAUUGUAAUACUCCAACCAUCUGCCUCCUGUGUCUGCAUCUGUGCCAUGAUAUCUGCUUUGUGUUUUCAUUUUUGCCAUGGAAGAAAUAAUGCGAUACUGGUAUCAUCCCAGCCCUACUGUGUGUGUACAGUGUGUGUGAGCACCCUACUGUGUGUGUACUGUACGGUGUGUGUGAGCCCUAAUCAAAUCAAAUUGAUUUCUAUAGCCCUUCUUACAUCAGCUGAUAUCUCAAAGUGCAGGUGUAGAAGCAUGGGGGCUGGGAAAAACUCCCCAGAAAGGCAAAAACCUAGGAAGAAACCUAGAGAGGAACCAGGCUAUCAGGGGUGGCCAGUCCUCUUCUGGCUGUGCCGGGUAGAGAUUAUAACAGAACAUGGCCAAAAUGUUCAAAUGUUCAUAAAUUACCAGCAUGGUCAAAUAAUAAUAAUCACAGUAGUUGUCGAGGGUGCAACAGGCCAGCACCUCAGGAGUAAAUGUCAGUUGGCUUUUCAUAGCCGAUCAUUAGGAGUAUCUCUACCGCUCCUGCUGUCUCUAGAGUUGAAAACAGCAGGUCUGGGACAGGUAGCACGUCCGAUGAACAGGUCAGGGUUCCAUAGACGCAGGCAGAACAGUUGAAACUGGAGCAGCAGCACGGCCAGGAGGACUGGGGGCAGCAAGGAGUCAUCAGGCCAGGUAGUCCUGAGGCAUGGUCCUAGGGCUCAGGUCCUCCGAGAGAUAGAAAGAGAUAAUUAGAGAGAGCAUACUUAAAUUCACACAGGACACCGGAUAAAACAGGAGAAGUACUCCAGAUAUAACAAACUGACCAUAGCCCCCUGACACAAACUACUGCAGCAUAAAUACUGGAGGCUGAGACAGGAGGGGUCAGGAGACACUGUGGCCCCAUCCGAUGAUACCCCCGGAUAGGGCCAAACAGGAAGGAUAUAACCCCACCCACUUUGCCAAAGCACAGCCACCACACCACUAGAGGGAUAGCGUCAACCACCAACUUACCAUCCUGAGACAAGGCCGAGUAUAGCCCACAAAGAUCUCCGCCACGGCACAACCCAAGGGGGGGGCGCCAACCCAGACAGGAAGAUCACGUCAGUGACUCAACCCACUCAAGUGUGUACGGUGUGUGUGAGCCCUACUGUGUGUGUACUGAACGGUGUGUGUUUGUGCAUGGCACAUGUGCUUGUAUCACAUGGGUGCUUGUCACCAGCUGGUCAUCAGCAGAGAGCUCCAGUACAGAGAAGACAGAUGGGGCUCAUCUAUAAGAGAGCAGCAGAGACUCUGCACAGAUCUACUGGACUGGAAAACACUGGGACAUUUGGUUGAAAGAAUAUAACUUUCUCUAUAUUGCUCUCUGCAGCUCCUUCACUGACUGAAUGUGUUGUGAUCUCUCCAUCUCUACCCAUUCCUCUUGCUGGCCCCUCAACACCAGACAGCCUGUGUUUGUUAUAGUUCCUUCUCUUUCCCAGCUCUAUUCUGCCCCCAGUGGCGGCAGCAGAUCUAGAGCAGACAACCAGGGGUUCCACCCACUACCCAACUCCUACCGCAGUGUCAGAGCCAGUACAACACCCCUGCAUCUCCCCUCCACUUCCCCAACACUAGCACCUGACAACCCUCUAGUCUGGAGGACUGCAGACAGUGUUCCUCUCCUGUCCAUUCUGUCCUCUUUCCUUCUCCUCUCUGAUUUCCCUUCUCUCGCUCCCUCCUCUGCUGUCGCUUUCGCUCUGCCUGCUGUACAUGUGUGAGGGAAUGCCAGGCCAGACUGGUAAAAUGGACCAGCACAUACAGUACUUCAGCACCCAGCAGCCUACAGUAUUACAGCUGGCAGGACUGGAUCAGCUCAGACCUGUCUGCACUCUGCACUGCCCCACAGUGGAGUCAAUGGAGUGUGUGGUGAGAGGAUGAGAGAGAGGGGCCCAUAGGGAGGACAGAGAGAGAGUGAAGAAUUAAGUGUUUACUAAGGAGAAAACAUGAGACAGAGAGGGGGAAAAGAGUAAAGUGUAGAGAGAGGAGGAGGAUACACACCUGAGGAGGGGCAAAAGGGCGAGCCAGUCAGCUGAUUCUAUUAUUCACCUACACAUGAGUGUUCAGCUUCCAAUAAAAAUUUGGAGAAAAAAAAUGACAAACUUAUCUUGAAGUCAUUAUGCAGUGAGGACAGCUUUAUGAGCCAUUUUAACUUUAACUUAACAAUGAAAGCUCAAUAAAUUAACAAUGUAACUUCAGAGGGUAGUGCUUCAUCAUAACACAUUUUCAUCAACAUCUUUCAAACAGCAUAUUUAGGACACACAGCAGAGGCACAAACACCCCAAUCUAACUCAAACAGCAUAUUUAGAACAGGUAGCUGAGCCCACUGUAGGAGGGAAAGGGAACAAAUCAAAGUUGUGUUCAAAUUAUUUAGCAGACUUCUGAGUAUUUUUCAAAAUGGCAAAACAUCUCAGACCCUUCCCUUACACCUAAAACACAGCUCAAGAUGUUUUGGCCAAUUUUCUUAUGAAAGAAAUAUCCUCAUUUUCCAAGAUGGGAAAAAUGUCAGAGAAAGCAUGAAAUAGUGUGAAUGACUGAGUGUGGGUUAUUCCACUGAAGUAACCUCCUAAUGUCUCGUUAUAACACAUAGCGCCAGAGGCAUCACUGGCAACACAUUGACCUUUACAUCAUUGCCAUUAGUGUUGUUGAGGUUGUGAAAAUAUCUGUAUUACACAGUUGAGUUAAAGGUCAAUAUCAUUUGAUGAAAUAUCAUUUGUAAUAGUUCCUUCUCUUUCCCAACUCUAUUUUAUAUAAAAAAAAUAUAUAUAUAUAUAUUUCACCUUUAUUUAACCAGGUAAGCCAGUUGAGAACAAGUUCUCAUUUACAACUGCGACCUGACAAAGAUAAAGCAAAGCAGUGCGACACAAACAACAACACAGAGUUACACAUGGAAUAAAGAAGCGUAGUCAAUAACACAACAGAAAAAAAGAAAGUCUAUAUACAGUGUGUGCAAAUGGCGUGAGGAGGUAAGGCAAUAAAUAGGCCAUAGUAGUGAAGUAAUUACAAUUUAGCAAAUGUCCCCCUGCUUAAGCCAAUACAUGUCCAGGCCCGUCUGAAGUUUGCUAGAGAGCAUUUGGAUGAUCCAGGAGAAGAUUGGGAGAAUGUCAUAUGGUCAGAUGAAACCAAAAUAUAACUUUUGGUAAAAACUCAACUCGUCGUGUUUGGAGAACAAAGAAUUGGGUAUGGAAAUCUCAGAAUUUUUGGUGGCCUUCCUAAGCCAGGAUUCACACUGCUAGAUGUGAAUGUGAAAUCCUCUAUAAUUUCCACUCUCUGUACUCUAGGAGAGGCUACCUGAAGGGAAGGUGGGGUACGGUGGAGCUAAGCGACCAUCAUAGCCUCCAGAGCAUCCACUGGUAGGGAGAAGGUCACAUAUCAUAAUCACACACACACAUCUACACACAAACAACCACACAAACCAGAGCAACACCCAGUCCACUCUAGGAGGAACACAUUUAUGUUCAUGUGCCUCUGAUUAGACUUUUCAUCUUCAUCUUUUGAUAAUUCAGUACUGUAUCUAUUUUAAACCUGGAUGGACAUAACAGCAGAAUAACUGCUACAGUAUACAAUUGAACGUUCCAUGGGAAAUUAAAAACAGGAUUGUGGUGGUCCUUGAUAGCUGGAGUUGGUCUAGGAUUUUGUUGUCUAAUGGUCUAAUAGGCCACGUAGACCUUAUGUUCAGUUCACCCCUCAAACCUCUGGUUGACACCACACGUGGCCGAAUAUUGGCUCACUCACACAUUCUACAACACAUAUGGAAAACUUGAGGCAAACAUUCACUUCAUAGAUAAAUUUAGAACAAAUAGAGUCUAACAAUUGGACUGAGAGUAGCCAGUCAGCCUUUGGCAGUCAGAACACACAACGCAGGAAGUCAUUCAUUUUAAUGUGCGAUACAAGAAAGGAGAAUAAACUCAAGGAGUUCCAUUUCCCUCCUGUUUGAUGUGACUGGCUCGUUGUCAAGGCGCAGCACAUGCC
Molecule: long non-coding RNA, 6563 nt
Organism: Oncorhynchus tshawytscha (Chinook salmon)
Lineage: Eukaryota; Metazoa; Chordata; Actinopteri; Salmoniformes; Salmonidae
Source: Ensembl